AGGGAAUUAGUCCAAAUAUAAGACCUCUGAUUUCGGCUCAGAAAAUUGUGGUUUAAGUCCACGAUCCCCUU
Molecule: transfer RNA, 71 nt
Filed under: Coreoleuciscus splendidus (Korean splendid dace)
Lineage: Eukaryota; Metazoa; Chordata; Actinopteri; Cypriniformes; Gobionidae
Description: tRNA-Arg
Rfam family: tRNA
About the family: Transfer RNA (tRNA) molecules are approximately 80 nucleotides in length. Their secondary structure includes four short double-helical elements and three loops (D, anti-codon, and T loops).
Source: RNAcentral